CAACACGUAAAGAACCUGCCCAUAGGUCUGGGAUAACCACGAGAAAUCGGGGCUAAUACCGGAUGUGUCAUCGGACCGCAUGGUCCGCUGAUGAAAGGCGCUUCGGCGUCGCCCAUGGAUGGCUUUGCGGUGCAUUAGCUAGUUGGUGGGGUAACGGCCCACCAAGGCGACGAUGCAUAGCCGACCUGAGAGGGUGAUCGGCCACACUGGGACUGAGACACGGCCCAGACUCCUACGGGAGGCAGCAGUA
This 250-nucleotide ribosomal RNA is filed under the name uncultured Exiguobacterium sp. RNAcentral describes it as "partial 16S ribosomal RNA". It matches the Rfam family "Bacterial small subunit ribosomal RNA", at positions 111 to 355 of the family's 1533-position model. Lineage: Bacteria; Bacillati; Bacillota; Bacilli; Caryophanales. The record is from RNAcentral.